AGAGAGAGACAUGCGCGCAUAUCAAUAAGCGGAGGAAAAGAAACUAACAAGGAUUCCCUUAGUAACGGCGAGUGAAGCGGGAAGAGCUCAAAUUUGAAAUCUUCAAGGUUUUACCUUGACGAAUUGUAGUUUAAAGAAGUGUUUUCUGCUGAAGUUUUGGUAAAAGUUCUUUGGAAUAGGACAUCAUAGAGGGUGAGAAUCCCGUAUUUGACCAUUAUUUUCAGCUUUGCGAUACACUUUCAAAGAGUCGGAUUGUUUGGGAAUGCAGUCCAAAAUGGGUGGUAAAUUUCAUCUAAAGCUAAAUAUUGGCGAGAGACCGAUAGCGAACAAGUACCGUGAGGGAAGAUGAAAAGAACUUUGAAAAGAGAGUUAAACAGUACGUGAAAUUGUCAAAAGGGAAGCGUUUGACACCAGUGUUGUUUUCUCGAAAAUCAAUUAAAAAUGGCUCGAUUUUGUAUUGUUGAGACCUUAAAAGCUCACUGUACAUUUUUCGUGUCUUUUUUAAUGCACUUUUCGUUUAACAAGUCAACAUCAGCUUUCUUUUGUUGUAAAAGGGUCAUUGGAAGGUGGCUUUCUUUUCGGAGAAAGUGUUUAUAGCCUUUGGCCUCUGCAAUCGGAAGAGACUGAGGUCUGCAGCGUAGACUCUUCGGGGUUAGAUACAUUUGUGCUAAGUUAUAGCUUUUUAUAGACAACUUGUUGACUAUAAUUAGUCUUGUAGCUUACUCGCUUAUGCUAUUUUACCUACGCUUAGGAUGUUGAAGAUGUAGCACAUCAU
Molecule: ribosomal RNA, 775 nt
Filed under: uncultured Neocallimastigales
Lineage: Eukaryota; Fungi; Neocallimastigomycota; Neocallimastigomycetes; Neocallimastigales
Description: partial large subunit ribosomal RNA
Rfam family: Eukaryotic large subunit ribosomal RNA
Source: RNAcentral